GAUGAACGCUGGCGGCGUGCCUAAUACAUGCAAGUCGAGCGAACAGACGAGGAGCUUGCUCCUCUGACGUUAGCGGCGGACGGGUGAGUAACACGUGGAUAACCUACCUAUAAGACUGGGAUAACUUCGGGAAACCGGAGCUAAUACCGGAUAAUAUAUUGAACCGCAUGGUUCAAUAGUGAAAGACGGUUUUGCUGUCACUUAUAGAUGGAUCCGCGCCGCAUUAGCUAGUUGGUAAGGUAACGGCUUACCAAGGCAACGAUGCGUAGCCGACCUGAGAGGGUGAUCGGCCACACUGGAACUGAAACACGGUCCAGACUACUACGGGAGGCAGCAGUAGGGAAUCUUCCGCAAUGGGCGAAAGCCUGACGGAGCAACGCCGCGUGAGUGAUGAAGGUCUUCGGAUCGUAAAACUCUGUUAUUAGGGAAGAACAAAUGUGUAAGUAACUAUGCACGUCUUGACGGUACCUAAUCAGAAAGCCACGGCUAACUACGUG
RNAcentral lists this ribosomal RNA (497 nucleotides) under uncultured bacterium. Its description in RNAcentral is "partial 16S ribosomal RNA". It matches the Rfam family "Bacterial small subunit ribosomal RNA", at positions 28 to 507 of the family's 1533-position model. The record is from RNAcentral.